This 1034-nucleotide transfer RNA is filed under the name Rhizobium sp. RNAcentral's name for it is "partial contains 16S-23S ribosomal RNA intergenic spacer and 23S ribosomal RNA". The stretch from base 191 to 264 matches the Rfam family "tRNA". Lineage: Bacteria; Pseudomonadati; Pseudomonadota; Alphaproteobacteria; Hyphomicrobiales; Rhizobiaceae. The record is from RNAcentral.
CAAGUCUUUGACUUGUCUCGAGGUAUGAACCUUCCCGUGCUUUUUAGAACAUAGAUGGGAUCAGUCAGAUCACCAUCGCAACGCAAUACGCUGCAGAGACUUCGGUCCAGACAGUAUGGCGAGCUUUCGCCGUCCACGUUUCUCUUUCUUCAAGAAGACAAAGAACCGCGUCGACCGGUUUGACGAGAAUGGGCCCGUAGCUCAGUUGGUUAGAGCACACGCUUGAUAAGCGUGGGGUCGGAAGUUCAAGUCUUCCCGGGCCCACCAUUUGCCCAAGCAGAGGUAGUUUUGCUGGAGCGAGUGAGGGUCGGGAAAGAAUGACCUGACGCGGAAAGUUGCCGAACCUGGAUUUAGUCCGGGCGAUCGAGCUGAUGGGGCUGUAGCUCAGCUGGGAGAGCACCUGCUUUGCAAGCAGGGGGUCAGCGGUUCGAUCCCGCUCAGCUCCACCAAAUCGAUUGGUGUUGAGACUGACGGCAAGUGUCUUCUGAAGAAAAAAAGUUUGCAUCGACUUCGGUCGGAUGCCUGUUCUGCAUAUAUCGUGAAGAGAAGAUUGAUCUGGAGGCUUCCAGGUGUCGGGUUUUGCCCUUUUGGGUUUGAUCUGGCGUCCGAGCCCAGUUCUGCUGAAACCAUGGAUGGCCUAGCCGGCCGGAUAUGGUGGAGGGACUGGAGGUAGGAAGGAAGCUUGUCGCUCUGGAUCGUUUGUUGUUCGUUGUCCGCAAGGACGUCGUCUGAUGAACGAUCGGAUUACCGUUGCCUGACCGCGCGGUAUCGGAUCCAAUCUCGAGAAGCUGGUCUUAAGAUGAGAUCGCAAGCGGGCUGCUCGGCGUAGCUCCAAUAAAGCGAUCUUAUCGAACACGUCGAUGGCAUCAUUAGAAAGCAUUGGUUGUAAAAGGUAACCUCUGCAUUGCUGGUAAGGAAUUCCAGACCCAGCAAAGAUGAUGAGCAUUGGCAAUGAGAACGAUUAAGUGUCGUAAGGGCAUUUGGUGGAUGCCUUGGCAUGCACAGGCGAUGAAGGACGUGAUACGCUGCGAAAA